This 447-nucleotide ribosomal RNA is filed under the name uncultured bacterium. RNAcentral's name for it is "SSU rRNA". It matches the Rfam family "Bacterial small subunit ribosomal RNA", at positions 26 to 518 of the family's 1533-position model. The record is from RNAcentral.
AGAGCGAACGCUGGCGGCAGGCCUAACACAUGCAAGUCGAGCGCCCGUAGCAAUACGGGAGCGGCAGACGGGAUAGUAACACGUGGGAACGCGCCCUUCGGUUCGGAAUAACUCAGGGAAACUUGAGCUAAUACCGAAUACGCCCUUACGGGGAAAGAUUUAUUGCCGAAGGAACGGCCCGCGUCCGAUUAGCUAGUUGGUGAGGUAAUGGCUCACCAAGGCUACGAUCGGUAGCUGGUCUGAGAGGAUGACCAGCAUCACUGGGACUGAGACACGGCCCAGACUCCUACGGGAGGCAGCAGUGGGGAAUAUUGGACAAUGGGCGCAAGCCUGAUCCAGCCAUGCCGCGUGGAUGAUGAAGGCCUUAGGGUUGUAAAGUCCUUUUAACGGGGAGAUAAUGACGGUACCCGUAGAAUAAGCCCCGGCUAACUUCGUGCCAGCAGCCGC